AUUGUUCCUUAAUAUAAUUAACAAUCUUUAUCAAAUAAAUACCAUUCUAAAACAUAUAAUAUAAUUUGUUUAUAAUCAUAUAAUUUUAAAUAUACUCUCUUCGUUUUAUAAUACUUGAUGUUUUACCUAGAUUAAGAAAAUUACAUUUUUCAAAAAAAAAUAUUUUAAAGAUAUAAUUUUAAAAUCAAUUAACCAAUUAUAAAAAAGGGAAAUUACAUGUUUACCAUUUUCAUGGUACCACUUUUCAUUUUUACCACCACUAAUGAGAUAUUUUCAAAAAUACAUACUUCAUUAAGUGACAAAAGACUCUUAUGUCCUUGUUAUUUAUAUAUAUAAAAAAUUAUUAUUUAAAUAAAAAAUAAAAAAAUAAAAAAAUAAAAAU
This 382-nucleotide long non-coding RNA is filed under the name Brassica rapa (field mustard). Its description in RNAcentral is "long non-coding RNA (BRAP_LNC002684)". Lineage: Eukaryota; Viridiplantae; Streptophyta; Magnoliopsida; Brassicales; Brassicaceae. The record is from RNAcentral.